This is a long non-coding RNA of Macaca mulatta (Rhesus monkey), 586 nucleotides long. RefSeq lists it as uncharacterized. The record is from RefSeq and is a predicted model, not a curated record. NCBI's taxonomy places the organism in Eukaryota, Metazoa, Chordata, Mammalia, Primates, Cercopithecidae.
UGGGCUGGGUGGCACCAGCUGAUCCAACACAACGCAGGGUCUGAAAAAUACCUCUAACACCAAUCUUAGGAUUUACAAUAGUGAUGCUAUCCAUAGGAGCAACUGGGGAGAGAAUGCUCCAAAGUUUAGGAGAAGAUGGAAGAACUGGGGAGUAGGAGACAGCAACAAAGACAUCCCGGAAAGACCGGAAAGGACUGGCUAGAGAAUUGCAAUCAUCAUGGAUGACCGAGGUGGACAUGCCUAAAGUUAUGGAGAAAAAUACUUAGAAGAACUUUUAGAGAGCUCCUGCCUACAGAAAGAGAAUAAUUCAACAAGUAGUGUAGCCUACAAUUUACCAAGAAGAAUUGGCAGAGCAAAGACAUAAGCCUCACCAAAAUGAUGACAUUAUUCACAUUAACACAUAACGGCUCUGUGUGUUAUUAUCAAACAACCUAUCUCUAAUGAAAGUGAUGCUUAUUGAUAAAAACUAAAUUAGUAAGCCAACAUACUAGUUUGUGUUUCAAGCAAACUUUAUAAAACUUUUAUUUGGUCAAAGCUAGUAUAAAUGUUCUUAUCUAAGUCAAAGAAUGUUAGAAUUACAAAUAAA